This 437-nucleotide ribosomal RNA is filed under the name uncultured bacterium. Its description in RNAcentral is "bacterial SSU rRNA". It matches the Rfam family "Bacterial small subunit ribosomal RNA", at positions 354 to 796 of the family's 1533-position model. The record is from RNAcentral.
GUGGGGAAUUUUGCGCAAUGGGCGAAAGCCUGACGCAGCAACGCCGCGUGGAGGAUGAAGGCCUUCGGGUCGUAAACUCCUGUCAGGGGGGACGAAACCGGGAAACCGGGUGACUGUACCCCCGGAGGAAGCCACGGCUAACUCCGUGCCAGCAGCCGCGGUAAUACGGAGGUGGCAAGCGUUGUUCGGAAUUACUGGGCGUAAAGGGCGCGUAGGCGGCAUGGCAAGUCAGGUGUGAAAGCCCCGGGCUUAACUCGGGAACUGCAUCUGAAACUGCUUUGCUUGAGUCCUGGAGGGGGUAGUGGAAUUCCCAGUGUAGCGGUGAAAUGCGUAGAUAUUGGGAGGAACACCGGUGGCGAAGGCGGCUACCUGGACAGUGACUGACGCUGAGGCGCGAAAGCUAGGGGAGCGAACGGGAUUAGAAACCCCAGUAGUCC